RNAcentral lists this ribosomal RNA (1176 nucleotides) under uncultured bacterium. Its description in RNAcentral is "bacterial SSU rRNA". It matches the Rfam family "Bacterial small subunit ribosomal RNA", at positions 278 to 1475 of the family's 1533-position model. The record is from RNAcentral.
GAAUUCUGAGAGAGAGAUGGCCCCCCCACACACUGGUACUGAGAACACGACCCAGAACUCUACGGGAGGCAGCAGUAGGAUAUGUCAUGACGAAAGUCUGAACCAGCAUGCCGCGUGCAGGAAGACGGCCCUAUGGGUGUAAACUGCUUUGCAGGGGAAUAAACCCCGAUACGUGUAUCGGGCUGAAUGUACUCUGAGAAUAAGGAUCGGCUAACUCCGUGCCAGCAGCCGCGGUAAUACGGAGGAUCCAAGCGUUAUCCGGAUUUAUUGGGUUUAAAGGGUGCGUAGGUGGCCUGUUAAGUCAGGGGUGAAAGACGGUAGCUCAACUAUCGCAGUGCCCUUGAUACUGAUGGGCUUGAAUGAACUAGAGGUAGGCGGAAUGUGACAAGUAGCGGUGAAAUGCAUAGAUAUGUCACAGAACACCAAUUGCGAAGGCAGCUUACUAUGGUUUUAUUGACACUGAGGCACGAAAGCGUGGGGAUCAAACAGGAUUAGAUACCCUGGUAGUCCACGCCCUAAACGAUGAAUACUCGAUGUUGGCGAUAUACGGUCAGCGUCUAAGCGAAAGCGUUAAGUAUUCCACCUGGGGAGUACGCCCGCAAGGGUGAAACUCAAAGGAAUUGACGGGGGCCCGCACAAGCGGAGGAGCAUGUGGUUUAAUUCGAUGAUACGCGAGGAACCUUACCCGGGCUUGAAAGUUAGUGAAUAAAGCAGAGACGCUUUAGUCCUUCGGGACACGAAACUAGGUGCUGCAUGGCUGUCGUCAGCUCGUGCCGUGAGGUGUUGGGUUAAGCCCCGCAACGAGCGCAAUCCCUAUCUUUAGUUGCCAACAGGUCAAGCUGGGAACUCUAAAGAAACUGCCGUCGUAAGACGCGAGGAAGGAGGGGAUGAUGUCAAGUCAUCAUGGCCUUUAUGCCCAGGGCUACACACGUGCUACAAUGGUAGGAACAAAGGGCUGCUACCUGGUAACAGGCUGCUAAUCUCAAAAAUCCUAUCUCAGUUCGGAUUGAGGGCUGCAACUCGCCCUCAUGAAGCUGGAAUCGCUAGUAAUCGUAUAUCAGCAAUGAUACGGUGAAUACGUUCCCGGACCUUGUACACACCGCCCGUCAAGCCAUGAAAGCCGGGGGGACCUGAAGUCGGCAACCGCAAGGAGCCGCCUAGGGUAAAUUCGUAUGU